RNAcentral lists this long non-coding RNA (825 nucleotides) under Brassica rapa (field mustard). Its description in RNAcentral is "long non-coding RNA (BRAP_LNC002699)". Lineage: Eukaryota; Viridiplantae; Streptophyta; Magnoliopsida; Brassicales; Brassicaceae. The record is from RNAcentral.
ACUAGUAAUAUCCAGAACUUAUCUUUGUACUAAUUAAUCCGCUUUUAGGACGAUAUUGUUAGGAUUUUACAUUACCCAUGAUGUAUAAUUCAUCUUAAAUGACAUUAUACACAGAAAAUCAUCAAAACACACAUAAAAUAUAUCCAAAAUCUAUAAACACAGUUUUCAAAAUCUUUUUUAAUCUCUCAUAAUUUUGAUUGGAUCUUCUUUUUUUUUACACUAGCCGAGAUAUACACUUGUUUUAAUAACAUUUCAGCAAAAAAAUCAUCAAAAACGGACAUAAAAAUACUCUAAAGCUCUAAACACAGUUUUUUAAAUCGUUUUAAAUCUCUCAAAUUUUCAUCAAAUCGUAUAUUUUAAACACUAUCCAUGAUAUACACGACAUUUUAAUGUUAUUUUACAAAAAAAAAUCAUCUCAAACGAACAAAAAUUACAUGUUUUAGGAGCUUCAAAAUCGCCAAUGGAGGUUGAAGAGAAAGAGAGUACGAAGAAGAAGAAGGUCAUGUGGGCCAACUGAGCUCUUAUUGGUUGAGUUAUUACUGUGGGCCAUGUAGGUAGUUGAAAAUGGUUGGUUUAUUUAAUUGAAGAAAUAAAUGGAGAAAGGCUAUUUUGGGAAGUGCAAGGAUAAAAGGAUAGGGAGAAUAGAGAGGGGGCAGUAAGAAUUCAUUUAGGGGGGUAUGGGGUAUAUGGAGUUAAUCCCCUUUAAACCCUAAGUCUAGAUUAGUUAACCCUAAGGGUAUAAUUGUAUUUUACCCUUCAUUAAAAGUGAGGGUAAAAGUGGUUAGUGUAAACAUGAAAAGUGAUACUAUGAAUAUGGUAUUUGUG